Molecule: ribosomal RNA, 484 nt
Filed under: uncultured bacterium
Lineage: Bacteria
Description: partial 16S ribosomal RNA
Rfam family: Bacterial small subunit ribosomal RNA
Source: RNAcentral
AUUGAACGCUGGCGGCAGGCCUAACACAUGCAAGUCGAGCGGAUGAAGGGAGCUUGCUCCUGGAUUCAGCGGCGGACGGGUGAGUAAUGCCUAAGAAUCUGCCUGGUAGUGGGGGAUAACGUCCGGAAACGGGCGCUGAUACCGCAUACGUCCUGAGGGAGAAAGUGGGGGAUCUUCGGACCUCACGCUAUCAGAUGAGCCUAGGUCGGAUUAGCUAGUUGGUGGGGUAAAGGCCUACCAAGGCGACGAUCCGUAACUGGUCUGAGAGGAUGAUCAGUCACACUGGAACUGAGACACGGUCCAGACUCCUACGGGAGGCAGCAGUGGGGAAUAUUGGACAAUGGGCGAAAGCCUGAUCCAGCCAUGCCGCGUGUGUGAAGAAGGUCUUCGGAUUGUAAAGCACUUUAAGUUGGGAGGAAGGGCAGUAAGUUAAUACCUUGCUGUUUUGACGUUACCAACAGAAUAAGCACCGGCUAACUUCGUG